CGAUUGCUUCUUCGGACCAUUUUCUCGACUCCCCUCUCGCUACAAAAAGGUUUGUUCGUAUCGAAUCGUGCAAUUCUGCGGUAAAUUUUAAAAAUAAUGGGGUGUGAAUUUAAUGUUAAAUCGUGUUUUUACACAUUUAUUUUGGUUUUUGUUGCGUGGAAUUUUGUUCGAGCCCUCGAUCCAUUGGAACCCAAUCUCGCCGCAGAUCAAAAUAUUAUUGAAAUUAAAAGUGAAGACGAUUUCAAUAAUCAUGUUUUGAAAGCUAGUGAUAAAAAACCUGUGCUAGUUCAGUUUCACGCGCCAUGGUGUAAUCCCUGUAAAUUUCUUACCCCAAUUCUGAAAAAACACGUCCAUGAACACGAAGGUAAAAUUUCAUUAACGAGAAUUGAUAUAGCGCCGCCGGAAUUAAUGAAGCUUUCUCAAUCACAAGGAAUUCGUAGUGUUCCGAUUAUUGGAUCUUACGUGGAUGGUAAACUUGUUGACAAAUUGAUAGGAUUUAAGGAUGAACAAGAAGUUAGAAAAUUUGUUCAAAAACAAGUUGACGAUUUUGAAAAGAAGUCUGGAUAAACGUAAUUUCUCAACUGUGAUGACAUCCUAUGUAGAGACUGAGUAUUACUUAAGUACAACCAGUAAAUUAUUGUCUGAUUAAAUGCUAAUUUUUGCCUAUUUGAUGUGUGAUGAGAGUUUCUAAAUUUGAAAAAAAGAAUUAUUUAUUUAUUUACCUACUUACCUAUUGUUUUAUUUCAACGAUUACCCUGUUCUGUGAGCUUAUGCAAAUCAUUUGUCAAUUUAAUUAUUAUUUUUAGAAGAGUCUUGCUACCUAAUUUUGUUAAAAUUCUGUCUUUCCAUUUUUUUUCAAAUUAAAUUUUUUCCCUAUGAA
Molecule: long non-coding RNA, 880 nt
Organism: Planococcus citri (citrus mealybug)
Lineage: Eukaryota; Metazoa; Arthropoda; Insecta; Hemiptera; Pseudococcidae
Exons: 3
Source: RefSeq, a predicted model, not a curated record